This 253-nucleotide ribosomal RNA is filed under the name uncultured bacterium. RNAcentral describes it as "partial 16S ribosomal RNA". It matches the Rfam family "Bacterial small subunit ribosomal RNA", at positions 524 to 776 of the family's 1533-position model. The record is from RNAcentral.
UACGUAGGGUGCAAGCGUUGUCCGGAAUUAUUGGGCGUAAAGAGCUCGUAGGCGGUUUGUCGCGUCUGCUGUGAAAACUCGGGGCUUAACCCCGGGCCUGCAGUGGGUACAGGCAGACUAGAGUGCGGUAGGGGAGACUGGAAUUCCUGGUGUAGCGGUGAAAUGCGCAGAUAUCAGGAGGAACACCGGUGGCGAAGGCGGGUCUCUGGGCCGUAACUGACGCUGAGGAGCGAAAGCGUGGGGAGCGAACAGG